UGCAAGUCGUACGCACUGGCCCAACUGAUUGAUGGUGCUUGCACCUGAUUGACGAUGGAUCACCAGUGAGUGGCGGACGGGUGAGUAACACGUAGGUAACCUGCCCCGGAGCGGGGGAUAACAUUUGGAAACAGAUGCUAAUACCGCAUAACAACAAAAGCCACAUGGCUUUUGUUUGAAAGAUGGCUUUGGCUAUCACUCUGGGAUGGACCUGCGGUGCAUUAGCUAGUUGGUAAGGUAACGGCUUACCAAGGCGAUGAUGCAUAGCCGAGUUGAGAGACUGAUCGGCCACAAUGGAACUGAGACACGGUCCAUACUCCUACGGGAGGCAGCAGUAGGGAAUCUUCCACAAUGGGCGCAAGCCUGAUGGAGCAACACCGCGUGAGUGAAGAAGGGUUUCGGCUCGUAAAGCUCUGUUGUUGGAGAAGAACGUGCGUGAGAGUAACUGUUCACGCAGUGACGGUAUCCAACCAGAAAGUCACGGCUAACUACGUGCCAGCAGCCGCGGUAAUACGUAGGUGGCAAGCGUUAUCCGGAUUUAUUGGGCGUAAAGCGAGCGCAGGCGGUUGCUUAGGUCUGAUGUGAAAGCCUUCGGCUUAACCGAAGAAGUGCAUCGGAAACCGGGCGACUUGAGUGCAGAAGAGGACAGUGGAACUCCAUGUGUAGCGGUGGAAUGCGUAGAUAUAUGGAAGAACACCAGUGGCGAAGGCGGCUGUCUGGUCUGCAACUGACGCUGAGGCUCGAAAGCAUGGGUAGCGAACAGGAUUAGAUACCCUGGUAGUCCAUGCCGUAAACGAUGAGUGCUAGGUGUUGGAGGGUUUCCGCCCUUCAGUGCCGGAGCUAACGCAUUAAGCACUCCGCCUGGGGAGUACGACCGCAAGGUUGAAACUCAAAGGAAUUGACGGGGGCCCGCACAAGCGGUGGAGCAUGUGGUUUAAUUCGAAGCUACGCGAAGAACCUUACCAGGUCUUGACAUCUUGCGCUAACCUUAGAGAUAAGGCGUUCCCUUCGGGGACGCAAUGACAGGUGGUGCAUGGUCGUCGUCAGCUCGUGUCGUGAGAUGUUGGGUUAAGUCCCGCAACGAGCGCAACCCUUGUUACUAGUUGCCAGCAUUAAGUUGGGCACUCUAGUGAGACUGCCGGUGACAAACCGGAGGAAGGUGGGGACGACGUCAGAUCAUCAUGCCCCUUAUGACCUGGGCUACACACGUGCUACAAUGGACGGUACAACGAGUCGCAAGCUCGCGAGAGUAAGCUAAUCUCUUAAAGCCGUUCUCAGUUCGGACUGUAGGCUGCAACUCGCCUACACGAAGUCGGAAUCGCUAGUAAUCGCGGAUCAGCAUGCCGCGGUGAAUACGUUCCCGGGCCUUGUACACACCGCCCGUCACACCAUGGGAGUUUGUAACGCCCAAAGUCGGUGGCCUAACCUUUAUGGAGGGAGCCGCCUA
This 1447-nucleotide ribosomal RNA is filed under the name Limosilactobacillus reuteri. RNAcentral describes it as "bacterial SSU rRNA". It matches the Rfam family "Bacterial small subunit ribosomal RNA". The record is from RNAcentral. Lineage: Bacteria; Bacillati; Bacillota; Bacilli; Lactobacillales; Lactobacillaceae.